AUGGCUCUUUUGACGGUAGAGGUGACUUGGUUACGAUGGUUACUUCAGAAGUUUGGUAUUUCUGUCAAUACACCAACUUUGCUCUUAUUUGACAAUACAGGUGCUCAUAGUGUUGCGCGCGACCCAGCGAAAAAUGAGCUCACCAAGCAUAUUGGUGUUGAUGCUUUUUUGUGUGUGCUAGUGUGCAAAAUUCAGGUUAUUGCUCCUCAGUAUGUGCCUUCGGAGUUACUGUUGGCAGAUUUCUUUAGGAAGGCCCAAAAUAGAGCACAACACGACUUCUAUAUCUAUCUCUCCAAGCUCGGUGUUGUUGAUCCACCAUGA
This 321-nucleotide ribosomal RNA is filed under the name Triticum aestivum (bread wheat). Its description in RNAcentral is "partial small subunit ribosomal RNA". Lineage: Eukaryota; Viridiplantae; Streptophyta; Magnoliopsida; Poales; Poaceae. The record is from RNAcentral.